UAUUCUGCCCCACGGGGAAGGAUGAGAAGCUUCGACUAAGGUUCGACUCGAGCGAAGCGAGAGAACGUUGCCGCAGGCAAUGGCCCGAAGGGCGAGGCGCUUUAGCGCCGAGUAAUCCUUCCCCCACCACUG
RNAcentral lists this small RNA (132 nucleotides) under Klebsiella pneumoniae. Its description in RNAcentral is "RtT sRNA". It matches the Rfam family "RtT RNA". Rfam says of the family: This family represents a bacterial cis-regulatory element known as RtT RNA. The exact function of RtT is unknown although it is thought that it may be involved in changing the cellular response in relation to amino acid starvation. The record is from RNAcentral. Lineage: Bacteria; Pseudomonadati; Pseudomonadota; Gammaproteobacteria; Enterobacterales; Enterobacteriaceae.